RNAcentral lists this transfer RNA (74 nucleotides) under Chloroflexota bacterium. RNAcentral describes it as "Chloroflexi bacterium tRNA-Pro". It matches the Rfam family "tRNA". Rfam says of the family: Transfer RNA (tRNA) molecules are approximately 80 nucleotides in length. Their secondary structure includes four short double-helical elements and three loops (D, anti-codon, and T loops). Further hydrogen bonds mediate the characteristic L-shaped molecular structure. tRNAs have two regions of fundamental functional importance: the anti-codon, which is responsible for specific mRNA codon recognition, and the 3' end, to which the tRNAs corresponding amino acid is attached (by aminoacyl-tRNA synthetases). tRNAs cope with the degeneracy of the genetic code in two manners: having more than one tRNA (with a specific anti-codon) for a particular amino acid; and 'wobble' base-pairing, i.e. permitting non-standard base-pairing at the 3rd anti-codon position. RNAcentral also lists the same sequence under 3 other names. Lineage: Bacteria; Bacillati; Chloroflexota. The record is from RNAcentral.
CGGGGUGUAGCGCAGCCUGGUAGCGCACCUGAAUGGGGUUCAGGUGGUCGCCGGUUCGAAUCCGGCCACCCCGA